CCUACGGGAGGCAGCAGUGGGGAAUAUUGGGCAAUGGACGCAAGUCUGACCCAGCAACGCCGCGUGAAGGAAGAAGGCUUUCGGGUUGUAAACUUCUUUUAAGGGGGAAGAGCAGAAGACGGUACCCCUUGAAUAAGCCACGGGUAACUACGUGCCAGCAGCCGCGGUAAUACGUGGGUGGCAAGGGUUGUCCGGAUUUACUGGGGGAAAAGGGCGUGCAGCCGGAGAGCAAAGUCAGAUGUGAAAUCCACGGGCUCAACCCGUGAACUGCUUUGAAAACGGUUUCCCUUGGGUGUCGGAGGGGUAGUCGAAAUUCCUGGUGUGGCGGUAAAAUGGG
Molecule: ribosomal RNA, 337 nt
Filed under: uncultured bacterium
Lineage: Bacteria
Description: partial 16S ribosomal RNA
Rfam family: Bacterial small subunit ribosomal RNA
Source: RNAcentral